UCCGUUUUUAGUCCCGCCCCCUCGGUCAGUCGGGCGCUCGGUGUCCGAGCGCUGCUAGGCCUGGCCGCCGCGAGAGGCUCGCGCCGGAGGCCGUGCGCUCGGUUCUGGGGAGCCCGCCGCAGGAGUGGCGGGGGAUCACGGGGCGGUGACUGCGCCGGGGUAUGCGGGGGCCUGUCGUGUGCUGGGUUCCGGACGCCCUGAGGAGCUGGCGGGGACCCGGGCGCUCCGGGCUCUGCGGUGAGCGGCCGUCCAGCCACUUUCAGAGCUUGGACUAUUCCAGUUAUUUAUUAGCUGUUGUAUAAAGGUAAAAGGCAACACGAUGUCUGACGAAGUUUUUAGCACAACUUUGGCUUAUACAAAGAGUCCAAAAGUUACCAAAAGAACUACAUUCCAGGAUGAGCUAAUAAGAGCAAUUACAGCUCGCUCGGCCAGGCAGAGGAGCUCUGAGUACUCCGAGGACUUUGACAGUGAUGAGAUUGUUUCUUUGGGGGAUUUUUCUGAUACCUCAGUAGAUGAAAAUUCAAUUAAGAAGAAAAUGAAUGAUUUUCAUAUAUCAGAUGAUGAAGAAAAGAGUGCUCCAAGACUGACUUUUUUGAAAACCAAGAAAUCAAGCAAUGACCUAAUCAAAGAUAAGCCAGAAUUGACCAUCAAGAAUGAUGAGGAAAUGGCACCCAAUGGUUGUGAAGACAUAGUCGUAAAUUCCUCAUCUGAAUCUCAAAGUAAAGGCCAAGAAAUUGAGAAAGACAAAAUUAAACUGAAACCCAAACCCAGAAUUCUUCCAGUGAAAAGCACAUCUUCAGCAGAAAACAACAGCAGCCUUGAAACAGAUGACCACUUGAAACCUUUACCUCGGCCAAGGAGCAUGUUAAAAAAGAAUAGCUACAGGGAACAGAAAGAUAGACUGGAAGAAAAAGAAAUCUCUCCCAGUCAAGAACCACAGGUACAGUCUGCACCUUCUUCCCCUACGAGGCCAAAUGGCACAGAAUUAGAAGCUGAGAAGAAAGAGGAAAAUGAUCAUCCUGAGGACCCAUGUGCAACAAAUCUAUCACCAUCAUCCCUUAGAGAAAGUACUGGAAAUUCCUUUUCACCAGAACCUGGGGAAAAAUCAUCCAUAAAAGUAGAUCAGAAUGAAGAAUUCACUGAAAACUGUGCUUCCUUGAAAUCAAAUGCAAAUAAAGAGAAUUCAUUAUUGAUGGACUUUGUUACUACUGCACUUGAGAAACCUAAAGAAAGUCAUUUGACUGCUGAGGGCCAUAAAGAAGAAAAGGAGAAGGCUGAACUGGUAACAGACGAUAACUCAGCAGUUGAUCCAUCACUAUUUAAAUCUCAGAGUAUCUUAUUAUCCACUAGUCCAACAGAAUCUGCAAAGAAAACAAUCGAAGACAGAAACACAAAGAAUAAAAGGUCAACAAAUAAUAGAGUAUCCAGUGCAUCUGGCAGAUUAAUGACUUCCGACUUUUUAAAGAAAUCUAGUUCUGCAAGGAGAAGUCCUUCAACAACUACUUCUUCUCACUAUUUAGGGACUUUGAGAGUCUUGGACCAAAAGCCUUCACAGAAACCAAGUCUAGAACCUGACAAAGCAGACAGCAUAAGGGCAGCUGUGUAUCAGGAGUGGUUAGAAAAGAAAAAUGUAUAUUUACAUGAAAUGCACAGAAUAAAAAGAAUUGAAAGUGAAAACCUAAGGAUCCAAAAUGAACAGAAAAGAGCUGCUAAGAGAGAAGAAGCAUUAGCGUCAUUCGAGGCCUGGAAGGCAAUGAAAGAAAAGGAAGCAAAGAAAAUAGCUGCAAAAAAGAGGCUUGAGGAAAAAAACAAGAAGAAAACCGAAGAAGAAAAUGCUGUGCGAAAAGGAGAAGCACUACAGGCAUUUGAAAAAUGGAAAGAGAAAAAGAUGGAAUAUCUUAAAGAGAAAAACAGAAAGGAGAAGGAAUAUCAAAGAGCAAAGAAACAGAAAGAGGAAGAAACUGUUGCUGAAAAAAAGAAAGAUAAUUUAACUGCUGUUGAAAAAUGGAAUGAAAAAAAGGAAGCUUUUUUCAAACAAAAGGAAAAAGAGAAAAUAAAUGAGAAAAGAAAGGAAGAACUUAAAAGAGCUGAGAAAAAAGAUAAAGAUAAACAAGCUAUUGACGAAUAUGAAAAAUGGCUGACAGAGACACAGAGAAGGUGAGAGAAUGAGAGAGAAAACAAGAAGGAAGAGAUCAAGAGAGAAGGAAAGAUCAAGAGAGAUCCUCUAUCUGCUGGUUCCAUUCCUAAAUGGCUGCUAGGGCCAGGCUGAAGCCAGAAGACAGGAGCUUCCACUGAGUCUCCCACGAAAAAAAAGAAAGGCAAGAAAGAAUUGAACGAAAACAAAAGAAACGCCAUUCCUUUCUUGAAAAUGAGGCACUUCCUCCAUGGAGCCCUCCAAGCAGAACUGUGAUCUCAAAAGUGUUUUGAUAAUUCUCGUUCUCAGAUAUUUAGCUAUUUACCAAUUUGCUGAUUUUAACCAGGGGCUUAAAACCAUUCAAUUAGUUAUAGUUAGAAGAAUCUAUUUUAAUAAGUUGCCAGACUCUUCUGCUGACAAUGAAAAAUAUACUUAGGAAUGGAAUCAGUGAAAACAUUUUUCAAACUGUAGAUAACUGCUUCAAAUGAAAAGCUAAUAAUCAAACUUCUUUCUAUUCAAAUGCAUAAAGCUUUAUCAUGUCUUGAUAAUCUGGUAAUUCUUAACACAGUGUGAUCCAUGAUCACUUUAACUAAGUCUUCUGCAUGUUAUUUAAAUUUGUUCCCAGUAAUAAGGGAAAUCAUUGAGGUAUCAUCAUAGAAAACACUGAAUCUGUUGAUGAUUUUGCCUCAAGGUUUCAGUUUUUAAAUGAAUGUUUGCAUAUAUUUUAUCUGAAACUGAUAUUUAGCUCCAAGCUGUGUUUGCACUGUGCAAAUUAGAACUUGGCCAACAGAGGCAAUAGUUCAAGUAGAACUCUAAUCAAUGAAGCAUUUUAAGAAUUCUGCCUUAUGCUUUAAUAUGACUGUACUUUAUCUGUUCCAAGCUUACGUGACAAUCAUAGGCACUUUAUAAUGAGCUCACCUCUGAAAUUUCUCUUUCUAAAUUUUAUCUUACUUUCCUUAUUAUUUAAAUGAUACCAAUAGAUACCAACGUCAUGGCAGUGAUACACGUAGACCUUAGUAAUGGAAAUUCCUCAGGAGUUCAAGGUCCUUAUUGCCACAAAGAGGAUUAAGGCAAUGAUUGUCCUCAACAAUCCAGUUUUAGAACUUAUAUAUUUAGAAGACACUUAGCUGUAUGGGAAAAAAUUUAUGGAAAAUGUUUGAAGAACUUUUAUUUAUUUAUUUGAUCUCUGCAUAUCCAUGUAUUAACUAGUCUCAUACUUGACAUGGAACAUCUAAGUUAUGACUUAAUAUUCAUUCUCACAGGUGAGAUGCUACUUUAGCCAAUAGUGCAAUCCAGAAAUGCAAAGGUGAUGGAUGAGAAUAAGCAGUUACUAUUUAUUGAGCACCUAUUAUAUAUAUAUGUAAUUCCUGCUAGAUCUUUACAAAUGUUAUUUCUCAUCUUUAUAAAAACUAUUUAGAUACUGUCCAUUCAUUUUACAGAGACUUAGGAAAACCAAAUAACUUGCCAUCCAUCUAGCAUGUGGCUGAGUUGGAGUCAGAACUGUUGAAGUCUGACUAAGGCUGCCUCCCUCCAGAAUCCCUGUGCUCUUUUUCACACUACAUGUAACCUCAAAAAUCGUAAGUGCUUUCAAGAUUUCUGAAUCAUAGCAACCUUACAAAUCAUGUAUUAUUACUCAGAAACUACUUUUCCCAAGAAAUACAUGCCUAAUUGGUAUUAGCGAUAGUGGACCUCAUUAAAUCUAUAAAAUGAAGCAAGAAUUCAUAGCGUUUAAGGAGUUGCUCAAACAUCUUGUAUCUCGUAUUGGAACGUCAGAAAGUCAGCACAUCCACUACUGUGAAACGGUCACUCGGGGUUCCACACACCCAUCCCUCUCCUUGCUGCAGUGCCUGUGCAAGUUCCAGAAGAUGCCGAGGAUCCUUCAGAGGCUGUUCAGUGCCACAGGUGAGUGUGAGAUGUGUGUGAAGAAGGAUGCCUUGUCACGCUGCCUCAUCUAGAACACUUCCUGCAGUGGGCAUGACUGCCAGCAAUGCGGAUUAUCAGCAUGGGGAUUGCCGCCUCUUACUCAUCGGGUGCUCUCCACAGGACCUGACACCUUGCCUACCAGAACAGAGCACUAAGUGUUUAUUGUUUUGAAUCAGCUCUUCAGAGCCAAAAAGAUAUUUGCAAAUUCCAGGGAGGCAAAAAGAAAUGUAAAAAAAGGUACACUACUCUGGGGAAUGUGAGAUCAUAAAUGUGUGUGUUCUGGACUUCACAUUAAUUAUUUACUUGGGUUUUCUUACUUUCUCGUACAUUAUUACAUUUAGUGGCUUACCAUUACCUCAUAGAUUGUUGUGAGAAUUGAAUGAGAUCAAUUAAUGUAAAGUACUAGGAACAUUAGAAGGACUGCAUAAAUGUUCGUUUUUGACAUCAUUUCCUUUCAAUCAUGAGCCCCACAUUCACUCCACUUACCUAGAAUGUGAGAAGGUGAACAUAACUAGGGUAACAGUGUGUAUUUAGCACUAGAUGAUUUUCCCAUAUGGGAAGAAAUCUUGGCCUUUCUGGUCAUUAUAGGCUAUACAACUGAACAAUAAAGUGGUGCUUUCUAUCAGGGCCUUCCUAAGAAAGAAAACUAAAUUUCUUCUUAGAGUUGCUUCUGAUGUAGGAGGAAAUGAGAAAUUGAGGUGUUUGGAAAAAACCAAGUCAUUUGUCUCAAAUGUGAAUGGUGGUUUCUGUCUUACUGUGAUAAAUAAUAUAUUAUUUCUUGUGAAUAAUAUGCUAAAUAUCAUCUGAAUCAGUGAAGUCAUCUCUUCUCCUGUAGCAAAAACAAAGCUGAGUUUUUGGGAAGGGAGUGAAGAUACGGUACUGUAUUAUUGUUUACUGCCUGAGAGGCAAAGGGGAGAAUCACACUUGGUAGUAUUAUCUAGAAAAUAUUUAAUGUAUUUAAGGGGUAUACCUUUCUCAUAUUCCCUUAGAAAUUAUCAAGUAUCAGUAUAGAUAUUUAUUCAUUAAGUUUUCAUUAAUACUAUUAGGGCAUGUAUAAUUCAAAUUAAGGACCCAUUGAAGUUCAUACUAAACUUCCCACUUACAAAUAACAUUGAUCACUUGAAUGCUAAGAUUUUUAGAAGUACAUAGGAAUUAUAUGAAUAUUUUAAAUUGCUAUAAACAUGUUUCCUUGGAAUAUUUUAAUACAUUUAAAUAUUAGAACUUCAACUUUUACAUAGAAUUUAAGUUUCAUAAUAACCAAGAAAACAGUGAAGUGAAAGAAAGUAAGAAUUAUUCAUGGGAUAAUAAUAUUACAGUGGUUUGUAGUUACAUCACUGAAAAUUUUGGCUAAUUCUGUAUUUCAAAUUGUGUUGGAACUGGUAUUUUUCACUGUUGCUGAAGCAGUACCCAAUACUAAUUAGUGGCCCAUGGUUAUGUUCCUCAAUGUGCAGUAACUGCACCUCAAAGAGAUUUUAGUAAUUUGACCAACUUGAUCCAAACACUUUAUUUCUAAAGUGUACAAACUGAUUUCCAAAGAUUUUGAUUUAGCCAGUCACACAGCUGUAGGGUAUCCAGAGUUAGAACUCAGGUUUCUUAGUUGGAUAUGUCCUCCAUUCCACAACUGCUAAAAUGUUCACACUAACUUUUGUACUGUGUUUUUUUUAUUAUUUGAGUUAUGUCUUCUCAUCUGUUUCCUUAUUUCUCCAGUGCCCUCCCCAUAACUGAGCAUCAGAUCAAAGCAGUUUGGAUACCUACACUAUCAUAAGGUGUGGGAAACUGAAGUUGCUUAAGUCUUGAGUCAUGAUCUAAGAUACAACAAAGAAAAUAAGUUUCACAAAACAGGAAAAAUUACAUGUUGGUCAAAAUCAUUCCCAAUUAUAAACUAGCAGAGGAAACAUCAAUUCCCCUAAUUUAAUCUUGGCUCUGAUUUCAGUAGUGCUUUUAAACAAUAUUUAAACCUACCUGCUUCCAUUCUAUGUAAAACAAAUAUGGUAAAUUUUCCUAGUUUAUUAUACUGGCUGAUAGAACAAUAAAAUGCUAUGUAGAUGUUAACUUGGAGACCUCUCUGUGUUUUUUUAAUUCAAAUUUCAUGUGAUUAUGUUAUUUUGAAUGUUUAUGCUACAUUAAAUUGUAUUAUGUUAACUUAAGUUGACAAAACUCAUGGUAUUGAAUUUAGAAUAUUUUAGGAGUCAUUGAGGGAUAUGUAUUCAUGUUUAUGUCUGUGUUUUGAUAGUAUGUUUUCAUGUAAUGCUUAAUUUAUUAAAGUCAACCAUUCAAGAUA
Molecule: non-coding RNA, 6338 nt
Organism: Oryctolagus cuniculus (rabbit)
Lineage: Eukaryota; Metazoa; Chordata; Mammalia; Lagomorpha; Leporidae
Source: RefSeq, a predicted model, not a curated record